This 1275-nucleotide long non-coding RNA is filed under the name Gopherus agassizii (Agassiz's desert tortoise). Its description in RNAcentral is "lncRNA (ENSGAGG00000025829.1)". The record is from RNAcentral. Lineage: Eukaryota; Metazoa; Chordata; Testudines; Testudinidae.
UUGUAAAACCACCUCUGAUUGGUCCGAUCCAAAGGCGGAGAUAACAAGCCUGAGAGGGUUUGAACCAGGAAAGCUGCCUCAUUCUACAGAAAGACGGGCAAAGGUAACAAUUCUCUCUCUUUCUCUUUAAUCCUAGCCUGUGCUCUCUAUCUUUGCUCUUUGCAAAGUGGACUCUCUCUUCGCUUUUCUUGUCUUGUAACCUGAAUGCUUUUUUACCCUGUGCUUACUAAACAGACUCUGCCUGCUUCUCUCUUUUUCAUUCUGAUUCCGCCAUGUGCUCUCUAUCUUUGCUCUUUUUUCUUAAUCUACACUGAUAUUGAAUAGUUUUAAUGCUUUUUUACCCCGUGCUUACCAAACAGGCUUUGCCUUUGUCAAUUUUCCUUUUAAACCUCGUUUUUUCUUAACCUACAUUGGUAUUAACUAGUUUUAAUGUGUUUUAUUUACUAGGGUUAAACCAAAAAAGCUACCUCGUUUUACAAAAAGACUGCAAAGAUAUUGAUGACAGUAAAGAUGUGGAUCUGCCUCGCCUAUGCAAAAUAAUUGCAUUCCAUCUAAAAUCAACUCUUCAAAGGUUCAAGGACUAUUUCCCAUCAGACUCUGAUCCACAAAAAGGAAAACAAUGGGUUCAUGAUCCAUACUCCUCUCUAGAAACUGAGACCUCUUUGUCACUAUCACUGGAGGACAAGUUGCUGGAAAUGUCAAGUCAUGAGGGUCUGAAGUUACACUUUUAUUAAGUGACUCUAUCUGUUUUCUGGAUCAAAAUCAGGAGUGAAUACUCACAACUCAAUGAACAAGAUGUCAAAAUUUUGCUCAUGUUCCAUUCCACAUAUCUCUGCAAAACUGGAUUUUCAGUGAUGACUGCAACAAAAACAAAAUACAGCAACUGGCUGAGCAGUGGAAAGAUGCUCCAAGUGUCCUUGUCAAACAUUCAUCCCCGGAUUGAAAGAUUUGUGUCUUCAAGACAGGUAUAAACAUCUUGUUAUCAGUAUGGUGAGUGAAUCCAUCUGAUUGUUUAUUAUUAUUUUUUAAAACUAAAUCAAUUGAAUUAUCUCUAAUGUACAAAAUGAGGUAUACAGUUAUAGACAAAAUUAUUGGUAACCUGAUUUUUAAACAUUGUUUCAAAUGAAGGGUAACAUUUUUCAUAUCACAUAACUAGAUGAACUGUUGGUAAGCAAGUAAGAAGUAUCUUACAUGCAGAUAGUACAAAAAGGCAACUCCUGGCAAUACUGAAAAAACAGCAAUAAACACCAGUGAAACACUGUUUGCUUUUUGUUU